UACGUAGGGUGCGAGCGUUAAUCGGAAUUACUGGGCGUAAAGCGUGCGCAGGCGGUUUUGUAAGCCAGAUGUGAAAGCCCCGGGCUUAACCUGGGAAUGGCAUUUGGGACUGCAAGGCUUGAGUGCGGCAGAGGAGACUGGAAUUCAUGGUGUAGCAGUGAAAUGCGUAGAGAUCAUGAGGAAGACCAGUGGCGAAGGCGGGUCUCUGGACAGUUCCUGACACUGAGACACGAAGGCCAGGGGAGCAAACGGG
Molecule: ribosomal RNA, 253 nt
Filed under: uncultured bacterium
Lineage: Bacteria
Description: partial 16S ribosomal RNA
Rfam family: Bacterial small subunit ribosomal RNA
Source: RNAcentral